GUCAAACUACUGUGGGCAGCAGGAGGAGCGACGCUCUCGCCGCUGGUGUCCAGUGAGACUGAGGAGAUCGGAGACGACGGACUGAGAGAGCUGAAAAGUGUGUGUGCUCUGGAGAGGUCAACAGGCCUGCCGAGUCCCACAAGCAAACAGCCGGAGAGACGCAAGAAUGGACAUGCAAUAAAAACAAAAGCAGCAGUUGCAGACCCUGACACCGAAGGAAUAGAAUACAUCGACGAAAAAGUGGACGGAGAUAACAACAACACUGAAAGGGAGGAAGAAACGCUGUCAGAAGUGGACGAGGACAGCGACAAAGAACGAGAGGACGACCCCGGAGCUCUGCACAUCAACAGGGUCAACCUGAGGAGGGGUCCCAGAGAAAACGAGAGGGCACGUCUGAGAGUCUGCCUGGAGAUCACACACCCUACACUCAAACUUCCUGUUUAUCGAACCUGGACAGGUGAGACGCACAGUGAAUAUGACAUCUAACCUGCCAUUUAAAUGUCAGUUUUUAAAACACAUUUUACAGAGUGUGCAUCAUGAAACACCUUCAACUGGUUGAGUGAAAGUUUUGUGUUGCGUUGCACAGGACGAAAGCCAAUCUUCCUCUCAACAGGAAGUUUGUUCAUGUUUUGUUUCUCUCUCCCAGAGCCCAAUGAGGAAAUUUCAUCUUCUGCAUGAACGCCCUGCAAGAGCGCUUCUCUAUUUCACAUAUCCCAUGUAAUGUAUCUAAUAUUUAUCUCUAAAGUACAUAUAAACCUGUAGUUCUGUUUUUUUUUUUUUUUUUUUUUUUUUUUUUUUUUUUUUUAGGGUAUCCAACUGUAUUAAAU
Long non-coding RNA from Amphiprion ocellaris (clown anemonefish), 827 nucleotides. The record is from Ensembl. NCBI's taxonomy places the organism in Eukaryota, Metazoa, Chordata, Actinopteri, Pomacentridae.